AGGGCGCAGGGCGAAUGCCUUGGCACUGGGAGCCGAUGAAAGACGUGAUAAGCUGCGAUAAGCUUCGGGGAGCUGCAAAUAAGCAUUGAUCCGGAGAUUUCUGAAUGAGGAAACUCACCUGGGUUCAUACUCAGGUACGUUAUACUGAACUUCAAAAUAGGUAUAUCGAGGGAACCGCCUGAACUGAAACAUCUAAGUAGGGCGAGGAAGAGACAUCAAACGAGAUUCCGUAAGUAGUGGCGAGCGAACGCGGAAGAGGGCAAACCGGGAGUAGAAAUACUUCCGGGGUACGGACUGCUUUUAGGACUUAAUCUGUUAACCGAACGGCAUGGGAAGGCCGGUCAGAGAGUGUGAGAACCACGUAGGUGAAAACGGAGAGAGCUGCGCAGAUUCCAGAGUACGGCCAGACACGUGAAACCUGGUCGGAAGAUGGGGGGACCACCCUCCAACCCUAAAUACUACCCAGUGACCGAUAGCGUAUAGUACUGUGAAGGAAAGGUGAAAAGCACCCCGGGAGGGGAGUGAAAAAGAACCUGAAACCCUGUGCCUACAAGCACCUAGAGCACGUCAAUGUGUGAUAGGGUACUUUUUGUAGAACGGUCCGGCGAGCGAUUGUAUGCAGCAAGGUUAAGGACUUAAGGUCUGGAGCCGAAGCGAAAGCGAGUUUGAAAAGGGCGUUAAGUUGCAUAUAAUGGGCCCGAAACCGGGUGACCUACCCAUGGUCAGGUUGAAGUGGAAGUAAAAUUCCAUGGAGGACCGAACCGACCUCCGUUGAAAAGGCGGCGGAUGAACUGUGGGUAGCGGAGAAAUUCCAAUCGAACCCGGAGAUAGCUGGUUCUCCCCGAAAUAGUUUUAGGACUAGCCUCAAGUUAGAUACCUGGAGGUAAAGCACUGAAUAGCCUAGCGGCCGAGAGGUUAGCGAAGCUUAUCAAACUCAGAAUGCCAGAGUAUUGAUGCUUGGGAGUCAGACAGUGUCAGAUAAAUGUCAUUGUCAAAAGGGAAACAGCCCAGAUCUACAGCUAAGGUCCCAAAGUCAGGUUAAGUGGAAAACGAUGUGAAGAUACGCAGACAACCAGGAUGUUGGCUCAGAAGCAGCCACUCAUUCAAAGAGUGCGUAAUAGCUCACUGGUCGAGCGUCUUUGCGCGGAGAAUUUAACGGGGCUAAACCUGACACCGAAGCUUAGGCAAUCCAGUAAUGGAUUGGGUAGGGGAGCGUUGUAUACGCGGAGAAACAGUAGCGUAAGCGGCUGUGGAGUGUAUAGAAGUGAGAAUGCCGGAAUGAGUAGCGCGAAUGCAGUGAGAAUCUGCAUGGCCGAAAGCCUCAGGUUUUUGGAGGAAGGUUCGUCCGCUCCAAGUUAGUCGGGAGCUAAGGUGAGGCCGGAAGGCGUAGCCGAUGCACAGACGGUAGAGAUUCCGUCACCACCAAAAGAGUUAAGCACAGGGACACAUUUGAAGUCUCAGAGCCGGGUGUUGGUUCCGGUAGAGAUCGAGGGAAGUUAGUACCGAAGUCUGGGAUGGAAGAUGGCGAGAAAAGCUGUGUGUAUUUCUGAGGUGCCCGUACCGCAAACCGACACAGGUAGGUAGGAAGAAGAUUCUAAGGCCAACGGGAGAAGGGUUGUUAAGGAACUCGGCAAAUUGACCCCGUAACUUCGGGAGAAGGGGUGCUCCAGAGAUGGAGCCGCAGAGAAUCGGCCCAAGCAACUGUUUACCAAAAACACAGGUUUGUGCUAAAUCGAAAGAUGACGUAUACGAGCUGACGCCUGCCCGGUGCUGGAAGGUUAAGAGGAGAUGUGCAAGCAUUGAAUCGAAGCCCCAGUGAACGGCGGCCGUAACUAUAACGGUCCUAAGGUAGCGAAAUUCCUUGUCAGGUAAGUUCUGACCCGCAUGAAAGGCGUAAUGAUUUGGGCACUGUCUCAACAGCCCGCCCGGCGAAAUUGUAGUACCGGUGAAGAUGCCGGUUACCCGCGACAAGACGGAAAGACCCCAUGGAGCUUUACUGUAGCCUAAUAUUGGGUUUCGAUGUUGCAUGCACAGGAUAGAUGGGA
Molecule: ribosomal RNA, 2045 nt
Filed under: human gut metagenome
Description: bacterial LSU rRNA
Rfam family: Bacterial large subunit ribosomal RNA
Source: RNAcentral